This 76-nucleotide microRNA precursor is filed under the name Bombyx mori (domestic silkworm). RNAcentral describes it as "mir-2807 microRNA precursor family". It matches the Rfam family "mir-2807 microRNA precursor family". The record is from Rfam by way of RNAcentral. Lineage: Eukaryota; Metazoa; Arthropoda; Insecta; Lepidoptera; Bombycidae.
UUAACUGAAAUUUGUAUGCAGUUUGCCUACGUUUGCCGCUAGGGGCGCUGUUCCAACUGCAUACAAAUUUGAGUUA